Molecule: ribosomal RNA, 2322 nt
Filed under: Enterococcus faecalis TX0855
Lineage: Bacteria; Bacillati; Bacillota; Bacilli; Lactobacillales; Enterococcaceae
Description: bacterial LSU rRNA
Rfam family: Bacterial large subunit ribosomal RNA
Source: RNAcentral
GAGUAGCGGCGAGCGAAACGGGAAGAGCCCAAACCAACAAGCUUGCUUGUUGGGGUUGUAGGACUCCAAUAUGGUAGUCUGUUAGUAUAGUUGAAGGAUUUGGAAAAUUCCGCUAAAGAGGGUGAAAGCCCCGUAAACGAAAUGCUAACAACACCUAGGAGGAUCCUGAGUACGGCGGAACACGAGAAAUUCCGUCGGAAUCCGCGGGGACCAUCCCGCAAGGCUAAAUACUCCCUAGUGACCGAUAGUGAACCAGUACCGUGAGGGAAAGGUGAAAAGCACCCCGGAAGGGGAGUGAAAUAGAUCCUGAAACCGUGUGCCUACAACAAGUCAAAGCUCGUUAAUGAGUGAUGGCGUGCCUUUUGUAGAAUGAACCGGCGAGUUACGAUUGCAUGCGAGGUUAAGUCGAAGAGACGGAGCCGCAGCGAAAGCGAGUCUGAAUAGGGCGAAUGAGUAUGUAGUCGUAGACCCGAAACCAUGUGAUCUACCCAUGUCCAGGUUGAAGGUGCGGUAAAACGCACUGGAGGACCGAACCCACGUACGUUGAAAAGUGCGGGGAUGAGGUGUGGGUAGCGGAGAAAUUCCAAACGAACUUGGAGAUAGCUGGUUCUCUCCGAAAUAGCUUUAGGGCUAGCCUCGGAAUUGAGAAUGAUGGAGGUAGAGCACUGUUUGGACUAGGGGCCCAUCUCGGGUUACCGAAUUCAGAUAAACUCCGAAUGCCAUUCAUUUAUAUCCGGGAGUCAGACUGCGAGUGAUAAGAUCCGUAGUCGAAAGGGAAACAGCCCAGACCACCAGCUAAGGUCCCAAAAUAUAUGUUAAGUGGAAAAGGAUGUGGGGUUGCACAGACAACUAGGAUGUUGGCUUAGAAGCAGCCACCAUUUAAAGAGUGCGUAAUAGCUCACUAGUCGAGUGACCCUGCGCCGAAAAUGUACCGGGGCUAAACAUAUUACCGAAGCUGUGGACUACACCAUUAGGUGUAGUGGUAGGAGAGCGUUCUAAGGGCGUUGAAGGUCGAUCGUGAGGACGGCUGGAGCGCUUAGAAGUGAGAAUGCCGGUAUGAGUAGCGAAAGACAGGUGAGAAUCCUGUCCACCGUAUGACUAAGGUUUCCUGGGGAAGGCUCGUCCGCCCAGGGUUAGUCGGGACCUAAGCCGAGGCCGAUAGGCGUAGGCGAUGGACAACAGGUUGAUAUUCCUGUACCAGUUGUUUUUGUUUGAGCAAUGGAGGGACGCAGUAGGCUAAGGAAUGCAUGCGAUUGGAAGUGCAUGUCCAAGCAAUGAGUCUUGAGUAGAGUUAAAUGCUUUACUCUCUAAGGACAAGUUGUGACGGGGAGCGAAAUAAUAGUAGCGAAGUUCCUGAUGUCACACUGCCAAGAAAAGCUUCUAGUGAGAAAACAACUGCCCGUACCGUAAACCGACACAGGUAGUCGAGGAGAGUAUCCUAAGGUGAGCGAGCGAACUCUCGUUAAGGAACUCGGCAAAAUGACCCCGUAACUUCGGGAGAAGGGGUGCUGACUUCGGUCAGCCGCAGUGAAUAGGCCCAAGCGACUGUUUAUCAAAAACACAGGUCUCUGCAAAAUCGUAAGAUGAAGUAUAGGGGCUGACGCCUGCCCGGUGCUGGAAGGUUAAGAGGAUGGGUUAGCUUCGGCGAAGCUCAGAAUUGAAGCCCCAGUAAACGGCGGCCGUAACUAUAACGGUCCUAAGGUAGCGAAAUUCCUUGUCGGGUAAGUUCCGACCCGCACGAAAGGCGUAACGAUUUGGGCACUGUCUCAACGAGAGACUCGGUGAAAUUUUAGUACCUGUGAAGAUGCAGGUUACCCGCGACAGGACGGAAAGACCCCAUGGAGCUUUACUGUAGUUUGAUAUUGAGUGUUUGUACCACAUGUACAGGAUAGGUAGGAGCCGAUGAGACCGGAACGCUAGUUUCGGAGGAGGCGCUGGUGGGAUACUACCCUUGUGUUAUGAACCCUCUAACCCGCACCACUAAUCGUGGUGGGAGACAGUGUCAGAUGGGCAGUUUGACUGGGGCGGGCGCCUCCUAAAAGGUAACGGAGGCGCCCAAAGGUUCCCUCAGAAUGGUUGGAAAUCAUUCGAAGAGUGUAAAGGCAGAAGGGAGCUUGACUGCGAGACCUACAAGUCGAGCAGGGACGAAAGUCGGGCUUAGUGAUCCGGUGGUUCCGCAUGGAAGGGCCAUCGCUCAACGGAUAAAAGCUACCCUGGGGAUAACAGGCUUAUCUCCCCCAAGAGUCCACAUCGACGGGGAGGUUUGGCACCUCGAUGUCGGCUCGUCGCAUCCUGGGGCUGUAGUCGGUCCCCAGGGGUGGG